This 253-nucleotide ribosomal RNA is filed under the name uncultured bacterium. RNAcentral describes it as "partial 16S ribosomal RNA". It matches the Rfam family "Bacterial small subunit ribosomal RNA", at positions 524 to 776 of the family's 1533-position model. The record is from RNAcentral.
GACAGAGGGUGCAAACGUUGUUCGGAAUUACUGGGCGUAAAGCGCGUGUAGGCUGCUCUGCAAGUCGGGUGUGAAAGCCCUGGGCUCAACCUAGGAAGUGCACUCGAAACUGCGGGGCUGGAGUUCUGGAGAGGAAGGCGGAAUUCUCGGUGUAGAGGUGAAAUUCGUAGAUAUCGAGAGGAACACCGGUGGCGAAGGCGGCCUUCUGGACAGUGACUGACGCUGAGACGCGAAAGCGUGGGGAGCAAACAGG